UAUAUUGGUCCUACCGUUACAUUUUGUCAAUAUUGCUGUUAAAUAUGAGGGCAAAUUGGUCAUUUUAUAUGUUAAAAAUAAAUAAAUAUUAAAAAAUGAAAUAAAAACUAUCUCUCUCUCUCUCUCUUUUUCCACAACCCAAGAGUGGUACCAAGAAUUGGAAUUCCAACAAUUGCACUUAAAAUCAGAUGCUCCAAAAGUGUUGCAUUUCCAAUUUUUAUAGGCUAGGGCAACCUUUAGAGAACUCCAAAGGCCCUGCAUCAGAUUCCCCAACAUAACCCAAAAACAUCCAUCUCACAUUUUGACUAUACUGGCCAACAUAACUAAGUCCCAAAUCAGUCAAGCCCCCAGCACGGAGAUACAAAGCAAACCUUUUGAGCUUAGCACAGCCCCUCAAAAGAGCUCAAACCCCAUUGCCAAGUGGUAAAUCUGUUAUCGUCUCUUCUCGGUCAAGCAAGACAAGUCGAAAAUCACAAAGAUUCUUAAAAUACCUGGAGGGUCUACCGUUGGAUGGGCUUGACUAUGAGUCGAUACUGGGACAGUGAUGUGAGAAUCCGGUGGGAGUAGCCGGGCCUCUGUUGCUGGACGGAAAAGAGUACAUGGUGCCUUUGGCGACGACGGAGAGUACCUUGGUGGCCAGCAUCAAUAGAGGCCUUCAGCAUCCUCCACGAAGACGCCAUGACCAGAGCUCCAAUUGUUAGGUUUGGCUAUGCCGUUAGGGCUGUAGAGCUCAUGUUAUUCAACAACAACCUAGACCCUCUUUCCCUCCCCCUUGAUUUCCCUUUGUUGUUGAGAGACAACCACCCACCACCCACCACCCACCACCCACCACCCUCCUCCCCACCUCCUAAAAUCACAGCCACUGUCAAUUUCUCACCCUCAAAGACGCCGAAAUUGCUGAG
RNAcentral lists this long non-coding RNA (902 nucleotides) under Prunus dulcis (almond). Its description in RNAcentral is "sRNA ncRNA". Lineage: Eukaryota; Viridiplantae; Streptophyta; Magnoliopsida; Rosales; Rosaceae. The record is from RNAcentral.